GUCGGUUCCAGCUCAGAGAACAGAGCAGCAGCUGCUGGGAGUUGGCAGCAGACCAAGUCUCAGCUGUAUUCUUGGCCUUCUGCCUCCUCCAGGCACUUACCAGGGGCGCGUGACCAAGGAAACAGCUGAGCCCCCACCUCAAAGAGGAAACGCAACCGCCACAGCCCCCGCCGCCACCUGCUCCGGAGCCAAACAACCAACAAAUUCCUGCUCAAUUCGAAGGGUGGGCUGAAAAUUUGCCAAGAACACGGACGACUGGACAGUUCACUUUCAUUUGCAACAAUUUCCAAGAGGACCCUCGGUUACACAGCAUAAUUACCAAACUAAAGCAAACAUGUUAAAUGCCCUGCACCUUUUUUUGAGAUGCCAAGUAUGGCCUUCUUGGGUGCCAUGAAGCAGUAAGAUAGCCUCAGGCAUCAGCACACAUUCCAGGUCCAAAUCCAAUUCCCACGGCCCAGCAGGCAAGCUGGGACAGUGGAAAUGCGAGUAUAUGGCCCAGCAUUACUCCGGAGGACUGUGGGGGUGAGCGUGCCACUUCCCAGAACCGUGGCUCUGACAGCUUCAACUGCACUCACGUCAGUGCUAUUAAGAGAUGUUCCUAACUUCAAACAUUGUGAAAUCUCACCCCGCUCCGAGGACACAUCCCUCCAGAUCUGUCUCCGAUCAACACGGGAGGCUGUGCUUUGUGCUAUUAAAAAUUUCUCUGGAACAAGAAGGGCAAAAUGCUGAUGCUUCAUGAUGCAUACAUGGGGGUUUGUUACACAAUUAUCUCCAUUUUGUGCACAUUUAAAAAAUUUCCAUAAUAAAAAGUUCAAAGUAUAAAAA
Pan troglodytes (chimpanzee) is the source of this 825-nucleotide long non-coding RNA. RefSeq lists it as uncharacterized. The record is from RefSeq and is a predicted model, not a curated record. Lineage: Eukaryota; Metazoa; Chordata; Mammalia; Primates; Hominidae. The transcript has 2 exons.